This 252-nucleotide ribosomal RNA is filed under the name uncultured bacterium. RNAcentral's name for it is "partial 16S ribosomal RNA". It matches the Rfam family "Bacterial small subunit ribosomal RNA", at positions 524 to 776 of the family's 1533-position model. The record is from RNAcentral.
UACGUAGGGUGCAAGCGUUAAUCGGAAUUACUGGGCGUAAAGCGUGCGCAGGCGGCUUCGCAAGUCAGACGUGAAAUCCCCGGGCUUAACCUGGGAAUGGCGUUUGAAACUACGGAGCUGGAGUAUGGCAGAGGGGGGUGGAAUUCCACGUGUAGCGGUGAAAUGCGUAGAUAUGUGGAGGAACACCGAUGGCGAAGGCAGCCCCUGGGCCAAUACUGACGCUCAUGCACGAAAGCGUGGGGAGCAAACAGG